This 1458-nucleotide transfer RNA is filed under the name Mus spicilegus (steppe mouse). RNAcentral's name for it is "lncRNA (ENSMSIG00000006644.1)". The stretch from base 1328 to 1401 matches the Rfam family "tRNA". The record is from RNAcentral. Lineage: Eukaryota; Metazoa; Chordata; Mammalia; Rodentia; Muridae.
GUCUACUUGGUGGUUGUCACCACAGCAAGACCACCCGUUAGGGGACUGGAGCUCAGAGGGUCCCUGGAGAACAGGACCAACGGUGUCUUUUCAUCAAAGAACGGCAGAACAGCGUCUUUUCACCAAAGAACAAACGACUGGGAGGUGGAGGCAGAUGCUCUGCGUUGGUCUCCUCAGUUACAGACUCGGAAGUUGAGGGCGACUUCGGAGUCACAGAUAUUCGUUGUCACCAAAGUUCCUUGUCUCAGCGACGAGGGGCUGCCUUAGACGUCAGGAUGAGGAGACUUCAAGCUGGGUCAUUCUAUCCUGGUAGAAGGGAAAUCCAGGUAUCGGGUCCUGCAGUGGUCAGCGCUGGCUCCGUCCGACUCCGUGCGAAUCGCCUUGGGUUUGUCCUUUUUGUCGCCGAGGCUCUGGAGAUGCUCAGACCGUAAGUGCCAGACUUACAGACUUGGAAAUUACGGGAGACUUCGGAGUCACAGAUAUUCGUUGUCACCAAGAUUGGGCGACCCGAAAAUAUUCACUUCAGAAUCCCAAGUUCCCAACUCCUUCGCGACUUCACUAAAGAAAGACCGAAUGACUCGAAGGGCAUCCCUGUCGCCUCUUCCGCUUCCCACUGAGGCAGAUAAAAAACGCCACGAAGCCCCGGGAUCCCCAAAACUUCUGGAACAGCUACAGUUUAAGCUGAGAGGAGCUUGGCAUCACUGAGACCCAGGACAGGCGUGGAUGAGCCGAGAGGACUCGUCCUUGAGACGUACUAGGGCGCGCUGGUCCUCCACUCUUUUCAACACGCAGUGACUCCACGGACCGCGAUAGUGUUCGGAGAGACCACCUCCCGCUGGCCCGGAGCAACGCAGAUCUUCUGGGAACAAAUACCCUGCCUCUCCUGAGCCACUAGUCUAGAAUCCCCGCCACUACCUAGCAGUCCAGUAGAGAGACUUGAUCUGGAGGCGGCCUGCCACCCUCCGCGUUAUCUGACUGUUUUUGGAGAAUGUAUUCUGAAAUUGAUUAAAAUUGGCAAGACUUCAAAUAGUCACUUGUGGGUAAGAGGGAGAAGUGGGUUGCAGAACUUCGUCGCGGCCAGAGGACCGCUAGCAGUUUGUGCGUCGACCCAGACCGAGUUGAGGAAUGAGUGAGUGCAAGGAGACAUCUGUUGCUCUCGUACGGAAUUUUUUUUCUGCUGCUAAAAACUUUCUGCUUCGAAUAAGGUGGUUUUUAAGUUUUUACAUCUUUAAAAAAAUCUUAAAAUUUCGAAAAACAAGACGAAACUCUUAGUUGUCAACUUUAUCAUCAAAUAUCUGUAGAGGUCGUAGGAGCAAGUUUCACAGGUGGCCGGUUAGCUCAGUUGGUUAGAGCGUGGUGCUAAUAACGCCAAGGUCGCGGGUUCGAUCCCCGUACGGGCCACACAUGUUUUAGCUACUCUGUUUUGCCUUUAAAAUAAAAGAUAAAGCGAAUGUGGCA